GGAGCGGUUCCGAGCAUGCGUGAGAGCGCCUGGGGCGUUUACGAUGGAGGUGAUGCUUAAGGGCACUCCCGAGGCUACAGUCCCCAACCUCCCACACAGCCAGGUAGGACCACAAGAACUGGGUACGAGCCAGUGCGAUGAGGCCAGAAGUGAUGUACCCAAUUCCAGGCCUGCCUUUCUCUGGAGUGAUACUGGAACCAGAGGAGGGGAGGUUCCAGAAUCCCUGCAGCACCACUUGGAACAGAGCGGCUCAACCAGGAAAACCCACUUGGGAGAAAUAAAAUAUCAGUUUUAUUGA
Molecule: long non-coding RNA, 298 nt
Organism: Phacochoerus africanus (Common warthog)
Lineage: Eukaryota; Metazoa; Chordata; Mammalia; Artiodactyla; Suidae
Exons: 2
Source: RefSeq, a predicted model, not a curated record